This is a long non-coding RNA of Oncorhynchus keta (chum salmon), 1691 nucleotides long. RefSeq lists it as uncharacterized. Lineage: Eukaryota; Metazoa; Chordata; Actinopteri; Salmoniformes; Salmonidae. The transcript is spliced from 3 exons. The record is from RefSeq and is a predicted model, not a curated record.
UCAAAUCAAAUUUUAUUCGUCACAUGCUUGGUAAACAACAGGAGACAGUAGACUAACAGCGAAAUUCUUCCUUACAGGACCUUCCCAACAAUGCAGAGAGAAAGAAAGUAAAGAAACAAUAGAAAAGUAAAACACAUAAUAAUAAAAGUAAUAAUAAAUACACAAUAAGUAAUGAUAACUUGGCUAUAUACACGGGGUACCAGUACAGAGUCAAAGUGCAGGGGUACGAGGUAAUGGAGGUAGAUAUGUACAUAUAGGUAGGAAUAUAGUGACAUCGUAAACAGAAGGUAAUGGAGGUAGAUAUGUACAUAUAGGUAGGAAUAUAGUGACAUCGUAAACAGAAGGUAAUGGAGGUAGAUAUGUACAUAUAGGUAGGAAUAUAGUGACAUCGUAAACAGAAGGUAAUGGAGGUAGAUAUGUACAUAUAGGUAGGAAUAUAGUGACAUCGUAAACAGAAGGUAAUGGAGGUAGAUAUGUACAUAUAGGUAGGAAUAUAGUGACAUCGUAAACAGAAGGUAAUGGAGGUAGAUAUGUACAUAUAGGUAGGAAUAUAGUGACAUCGUAAACAGAAGGUAAUGGAGGUAGAUAUGUACAUAUAGGUAGGAAUAUAGUGACAUCGUAAACAGAAGGUAAUGGAGGUAGAUAUGUACAUAUAGGUAGGAAUAUAGUGACAUCGUAAACAGAAGGUAAUGGAGGUAGAUAUGUACAUAUAGGUAGGAAUAUAGUGACAUCGUAAACAGAAGGUAAUGGAGGUAGAUAUGUACAUAUAGGUAGGAAUAUAGUGACAUCGUAAACAGAAGGUAAUGGAGGUAGAUAUGUACAUAUAGGUAGGAAUAUAGUGACAUCGUAAACAGAAGGUAAUGGAGGUAGAUAUGUACAUAUAGGUAGGAAUAUAGUGACAUCGUAAACAGAAGGUAAUGGAGGUAGAUAUGUACAUAUAGGUAGGAAUAUAGUGACAUCGUAAACAGAAGGUAAUGGAGGUAGAUAUGUACAUAUAGGUAGGAAUAUAGUGACAUCGUAAACAGAAGGUAAUGGAGGUAGAUAUGUACAUAUAGGUAGGAAUAUAGUGACAUCGUAAACAGAAGGUAAUGGAGGUAGAUAUGUACAUAUAGGUAGGAAUAUAGUGACAUCGUAAACAGAAGGUAAUGGAGGUAGAUAUGUACAUAUAGGUAGGAAUAUAGUGACAUCGUAAACAGAAGGUAAUGGAGGUAGAUAUGUACAUAUAGGUAGGAAUAUAGUGACAUCGUAAACAGAAGGUAAUGGAGGUAGAUAUGUACAUAUAGGUAGGAAUAUAGUGACAUCGUAAACAGAAGGUAAUGGAGGUAGAUAUGUACAUAUAGGUAGGAAUAUAGUGACAUCGUAAACAGAAGGUAAUGGAGGUAGAUAUGUACAUAUAGGUAGGAAUAUAGUGACAUCGUAAACAGAAGGUAAUGGAGGUAGAUAUGUACAUAUAGGUAGGAAUAUAGUGACAUCGUAAACAGAAGGUAAUGGAGGUAGAUAUGUACAUAUAGGUAGGAAUAUAGUGACAUCGUAAACAGAAGGUAAUGGAGGUAGAUAUGUACAUAUAGGUAGGAAUAUAGUGACAUCGUAAACAGAAGGUAAUGGAGGUAGAUAUGUACAUAUAGGUAGGAAUAUAGUGACAUCGUAAACAGAAGGUAAUGGAGGUAGAUAUGUACAUAUAGGUAGGAAUA